This 255-nucleotide ribosomal RNA is filed under the name uncultured bacterium. RNAcentral describes it as "partial 16S ribosomal RNA". It matches the Rfam family "Bacterial small subunit ribosomal RNA", at positions 524 to 776 of the family's 1533-position model. The record is from RNAcentral.
UACGGGGGGAGCAAGCGUUGUUCGGAUUUACUGGGCGUAAAGGGCGCGUAGGCGGCCACCGCAAGUCAGUUGUGAAAUCUCUGGGCUUAACCCAGAACGGUCAGCUGAUACUGCGGGGCUAGAGUGCAGAAGGGGCAACUGGAAUUCUCGGUGUAGCGGUGAAAUGCGUAGAUAUCGAGAGGAACACCUGCGGCGAAGGCGGGUUGCUGGGCUGACACUGACGCUGACAGCGCGAAAGCUAGGGGAGCGAACAGG